Long non-coding RNA from Mauremys mutica (yellowpond turtle), 346 nucleotides. RefSeq lists it as uncharacterized. NCBI's taxonomy places the organism in Eukaryota, Metazoa, Chordata, Testudines, Geoemydidae. The transcript is spliced from 3 exons. The record is from RefSeq and is a predicted model, not a curated record.
UGAUGGAACAGUUUCAAGCAGUAGUGGGGAGAGGAGGCCCAAAGCACUGGUAGCUUACUGUGAAGCAACUCCUUCAGGAGAAGAAAUCUGCACUUGUGUAACAUCAAAACAGUUUUCUAAUUACAUCCUCUUUGAAAAGGAGAAUCUGCAUCUAGACUUUAUUCCUGGACUGUUCAUUCAUGGCUCCUGUGCGGUCUAUUGUUUACUGCUACUAAUUCACUGAGAUAUUCCUCAGUCACUGCAGCCCCGGGAACAGAACUGUGCCAUUGAGCAGGGCAGAAAAUGGGUUUCCUGUCCUGCAUGAAGUUUUGGGAGUUCAAAAAAAUUCCAGUUUCACAGCAGGAUA